This 1594-nucleotide long non-coding RNA is filed under the name Nicotiana benthamiana. RNAcentral's name for it is "long non-coding RNA (NBEN_LNC033793)". The record is from RNAcentral. Lineage: Eukaryota; Viridiplantae; Streptophyta; Magnoliopsida; Solanales; Solanaceae.
AGGGACAAUGUUUGUCAUCUCACCGGUACUAAUAUCAAUGCUGCUCAAUUUGACAAGUGAUAUGCUAAUCCAAUGCUAUUUCCAAUCAGUGGGAACUUUUUAGUAGAUGGUUCAUCAAAUGGGCUUAAAUUGUUAAAUUAGUUUGUUAAACAGUGUACUGGGCGAUGAGCAUGCAAAUAUGGUGUUAUACUUCAGAAGUGUCAGAUUGAAUGGUCAAGGCAAUUUGUGUUAGCAUAUGAUUUCUGCAUUACUACAAGGACUUGGGUACCUGCUACGAUCCUGUGGCUGUAGUAAGAGAUGAUGGCCCCCCUUCCAGAUAUAUCACUGUAUUUUCUCUGUUUCUUUCAAAUUUUUUGUGGAAGUUAGGUUCUGAACUGAUUGGUUUUCUCUAGUUGCUGAUCUUGCCAAUUGAGAACUAAAGUAUAUGUGGAAAGGUUGAUCUUCAAGUGUUGCUCUUUUUUGUUUUUUUCUUCUUUUAAUUGAUAAGGUAAAGGUUUAUUAGAAAACAGUCCCAAGAUGGUACCGCAACAAACUUUCUGGUAUCAUUGACCAAGAUCAUCUUUGCAUUUAGUUUUGUAACUGCAAGAAUUGGAACUGGAGCAACAAUUGCCCGAGGAUGUUCUUAUAAAAAAAUUAGAUCCCCCAAGUAAGGGACUAUGUUUUCAGUAUCAACGCUAAGUAAAAUGUACUCCAAAGCUGAAUGCAGAGACCAUAGAGUAGGUAGCACACAGUGAUUGGCCUAACAAAAUCUCAUUACAACAUAAAAGUAGCUUUUAUGCUACUAUCAGAUGCCUUUGUUGGUGCAUAUGCAUGUAGAGUUCCAGAAAUAGAAGUACUAAAAGAACAUGCAUGUUGCAUACAUUGUGUUUACUGUGUUGAACUGAUGCCUUUAGCAGUCCCUCCCUCUCCUUGCUUUCUUGGUUUAUGUUCCUUUUGCCUUCUCCGUUUGCCUUUCCUGAUACUGUUUUUAUUUUUCAUGUACUAUGUUGUUUGUUGGUAUUCUGAUUAACAUUUUUGCGUGUUCCUUCAAUGUAAUAGCUUUCAGUGAGGAACUGCUUCAUCAGAGGAUCGGUGGUGAGAUACGUCCAGUUACCUCCCGAGGGAGUUGACAUUGAGCUGCUUCAUGAUGCUACGAGGAGAGAAGCUCGGGGUGGCUAAAAUUUGGACUUCGAAAAUAGAUGUAUCUUUAAAAGAUUUUAUGUGGGUAAAUCAGCAUAUACUGAUUUCUUUUCUCAUAAGGAGAGAAGCUCGGGGUGGCUAGAAUCUGGACUUUGAAAACAGAUGUAUCUUUAAAAGAUUUUGUGUGGGUAAAUCAGCAUAUACUGAUUUCUUUUCUCCAUUUUCAAUGUAUUUCUAGAUGCUAUUAUUGCUAUUAUAUGCAGUGCUUUUAUUUCUUCCUUUUCCUCCUCUUUCUCCAUCACUAUCAUUGAGUGACUAUUAUGAUUGCUGCAAUUGUGUGGUGAAAGCCGUGGAUAUGAAAUUCUGCCAAGAAAAAUAAUUGGUACUGGUUUUACGGCUAAGACAGACAAAAGAUGUCAGCCAUUAGUAAUCUAUGAGGCGCUAUCCCAAAAAUAUGUUGCAGCUGAAACCUGAA